CCAUGCGUUCGGCCACAGGAGAGCUCUUCAAUUGUGGUUGCUUCCAUUGUAGCGAGGUAUUCGUUUAUGCGCCUCUUCUUUAGUCAAAGUCUUCACUACGUCCAUAAUAGCGACAGUGAAUCUAUUUUCCGCUGUCAGCUCCGAUCAGGAUCAGUUUAGGCCACCAAGUUGGGACUUAGACACGAGUGGGAAGCUCCUUGGUGAAUCAUAAUAACUUUACCAAUCGCAUGGCCUUGCGCCGGUGAUGGUUCAGUCAACUUUCUGCCCUAUCAACUCUCGAUGGUAGGAUAGUGGCCUACCAUGGUGGCAACGGGCAACGGGGAAGUAGGGUUCGAUUCCGGAGAGGGGAGCUUGAGAAACGGCUACCACAUUCAAGGAAGGCAGCAGG
This 388-nucleotide non-coding RNA is filed under the name Penicillium griseofulvum. RNAcentral describes it as "Eukaryotic small subunit ribosomal RNA". It matches the Rfam family "Eukaryotic small subunit ribosomal RNA", at positions 183 to 432 of the family's 1831-position model. Lineage: Eukaryota; Fungi; Ascomycota; Eurotiomycetes; Eurotiales; Aspergillaceae. The record is from Rfam by way of RNAcentral.